CCUACGGGAGGCAGCAGUGGGGAAUAUUGCACAAUGGGGGAAACCCUGAUGCAGCGACGCCGCGUGAGUGAAAAAGGAAUUCGUGAUGUAAAGCUCUAUCAGCAGGGAAGAAAAUGACGGUACCUGAGUAAGAAGACCCGGCUAACGACGUGCCAGCAGCCGCGGUAAGACGGAGGGGGCAAGCGUUAUCCGGAUUUACGGGGGGUAAAGGGAGCGUAGACGGGAGUGCAAGUCAGGAGGGAAAGGCGGGGGCUCAACCCCCGGACUGCUCUUGAAACUGUCCGGCUGGAGUGCAGGAGAGGUCAGUGGAAUUCCUAGUGUAGCGGUGCACUGCGUAGCUAUUAGGAGGAACACCAGUGGCGCAGGCGGCUUACUGGACUGUAACUGCCGUUGCUGCUCG
Molecule: ribosomal RNA, 400 nt
Filed under: uncultured bacterium
Lineage: Bacteria
Description: partial 16S ribosomal RNA
Rfam family: Bacterial small subunit ribosomal RNA
Source: RNAcentral